This 286-nucleotide long non-coding RNA is filed under the name Dermacentor andersoni. RNAcentral's name for it is "uncharacterized LOC126540059". The record is from RNAcentral. Lineage: Eukaryota; Metazoa; Arthropoda; Arachnida; Ixodida; Ixodidae.
GCCAGUCUUUAUUAACUAUUUGCAUUGAAAUGACCAGUCACCAAGUGGUUGACAUGCAUUUUCCACACAGUUAGAUCCAGUGCAAUUAUUUUCUCUGGAGUAAAGUAAAACAAGUGAUGUGGAAAACAUUUCAUAGGAAUUUUCUACAAUGGCGCUUUUAUUUUUACUGCAGGGAUCUGUGCAAGAAGCGGUCAAGGUGCAAUCGCAUGGAAAUAUUUUUGGGAGCUGCACGUAUUCCUUGGAGGACUUCUCCAAAAAAUAAAUGCCUUCUGGGCCAUUCCGCUUU